RNAcentral lists this ribosomal RNA (1531 nucleotides) under Salmonella enterica subsp. enterica serovar Typhimurium. RNAcentral's name for it is "partial 23S ribosomal RNA". It matches the Rfam family "Bacterial large subunit ribosomal RNA", at positions 127 to 1616 of the family's 2925-position model. Lineage: Bacteria; Pseudomonadati; Pseudomonadota; Gammaproteobacteria; Enterobacterales; Enterobacteriaceae. The record is from RNAcentral.
CCCAGUGUGAUUCGUCACACUAUCAUUAACUGAAUCCAUAGGUUAAUGAGGCGAACCGGGGGAACUGAAACAUCUAAGUACCCCGAGGAAAAGAAAUCAACCGAGAUUCCCCCAGUAGCGGCGAGCGAACGGGGAGGAGCCCAGAGCCUGAAUCAGCAUGUGUGUUAGUGGAAGCGUCUGGAAAGGCGCGCGAUACAGGGUGACAGCCCCGUACACAAAAGCGCAUGUGCUGUGAGCUCGAUGAGUAGGGCGGGACACGUGGUAUCCUGUCUGAAUAUGGGGGGACCAUCCUCCAAGGCUAAAUACUCCUGACUGACCGAUAGUGAACCAGUACCGUGAGGGAAAGGCGAAAAGAACCCCGGCGAGGGGAGUGAAAAAGAACCUGAAACCGUGUACGUACAAGCAGUGGGAGCACCCUUCGGGGUGUGACUGCGUACCUUUUGUAUAAUGGGUCAGCGACUUAUAUUCUGUAGCAAGGUUAACCGUAUAGGGGAGCCGGAGGGAAACCGAGUCUUAACCGGGCGUUAAGUUGCAGGGUAUAGACCCGAAACCCGGUGAUCUAGCCAUGGGCAGGUUGAAGGUUGGGUAACACUAACUGGAGGACCGAACCGACUAAUGUUGAAAAAUUAGCGGAUGACCUGUGGCUGGGGGUGAAAGGCCAAUCAAACCGGGAGAUAGCUGGUUCUCCCCGAAAGCUAUUUAGGUAGCGCCUCGUGAAUUCAUCUCCGGGGGUAGAGCACUGUUUCGGCUAGGGGGCCAUCCCGGCUUACCAACCCGAUGCAAACUGCGAAUACCGGAGAAUGUUAUCACGGGAGACACACGGCGGGUGCUAACGUCCGUCGUGAAGAGGGAAACAACCCAGACCGCCAGCUAAGGUCCCAAAGUCAUGGUUAAGUGGGAAACGAUGUGGGAAGGCCCAGACAGCCAGGAUGUUGGCUUAGAAGCAGCCAUCAUUUAAAGAAAGCGUAAUAGCUCACUGGUCGAGUCGGCCUGCGCGGAAGAUGUAACGGGGCUAAACCAUGCACCGAAGCUGCGGCAGCGAACGUAUCACCCAAGACAACUUUACGGAGUUGACGAUUGACGGAGCGAAGCGACGUCAAAGCGUUCAUUAAAGUCGAGUUGGCUUAGGGAUACGUUCGUUGGGUAGGGGAGCGUUCUGUAAGCCUGUGAAGGUGUGUCGUGAGGCAUGCUGGAGGUAUCAGAAGUGCGAAUGCUGACAUAAGUAACGAUAAAGCGGGUGAAAAGCCCGCUCGCCGGAAGACCAAGGGUUCCUGUCCAACGUUAAUCGGGGCAGGGUGAGUCGACCCCUAAGGCGAGGCCGAAAGGCGUAGUCGAUGGGAAACGGGUUAAUAUUCCCGUACUUGGUGUUACUGCGAAGGGGGGACGGAGAAGGCUAUGUUGGCCGGGCGACGGUUGUCCCGGUUUAAGCGUGUAGGUGUGUGUUCCAGGUAAAUCCGGUUCACUUUAACACUGAGGCGUGACGACGAGGCACUACGGUGCUGAAGCAACAAAUGCCCUGCUUCCAGGAAAA